GCAGAAAUAACAUGUCGCGUCCAGGGUGAGUCACUUAAAAGCCAGGGUGCCUUUCCCUUCUCUCUCUUACCAAGCACCCUCUGGAGCCAUGUAUACGGAGAACAUACCGUGAGGUGAUGAGAGCCUGUUUUCCUGAAUUUCUGGGAAGAGGUGAUGCCCCUCCAACGGACUUCGGACUUGGUUAAAUAAAGCAUGUUAACUCUCAAGAGGUGAUUGGCCCCUUCUGGCCACACAGUGGGUAAGAACCUGUCUACCAAUGCUGGGGACACAGGUUCGAGUCCUGGUCUGGGAAGAUGCCAUGUGCCAUGGAGCAACUAAGCUUGUGCCCCACAACUUGGUGCCACAACUACCAAGCCUGAGCCCAACUGAGCUGCAACUACCAAGCCCAGGAGCUGCCUCUAUUGAAGCCCGCAUGCGCUAGAGCCUGAGGUCCGCAACAAGAAAAGCCACCACGCAGACAUUACCCAACACACCCUCAAGGGAAGGAAAACUCUCAGUCCGUCAACUUUCUGAUGCCUCAAGAACCUACUUUUUCCAGAGAAGAGUCUAAAUGGGUCACUUCCCUCUUCUGGCCUCGCUACAAAUGUUACCCACACUUGCCCCCCGAUCCUAUUUUCAGAAUUGAAUGACCAGCUCCAUUCUGUGAGGCCCUGACUACAUCCCGCUAAGGUCACGGUUGGUACUUAAAAGCAGUGGUCUUUUUUUAUUUCCCCCAAAGGCUAGUUUUUAUCCCUCCCUCCACCCUUCCUCUUCCUUCACCCUCCUUCAAUAGAGCUGUGUUGUGAAGGGUCUGGCCACACACAGAGAAUAUUACAGGAAUAAAACCUGGGAAAGAGCACACGGUUAUGAAAUAUUAAACUUAAACUUCUCUUUAUUUUGCCCCUCCAAUUCUCCUCCCCCUCCAAGAAAACACGAACCCCGACAGAUUUGCGGUCCGUGUUAUCUUCAGCUGGAAAAGCCAGCUGAACCAACAGAGCAGACUUCUCUGUUUCCUGCUGCCUAGAGCUUUCCAAAGGCGCUACUGUGAAGGAGCAGCUCCCUCUUUGGCCCUAUGGACAGCUUUCCGAGAGGGAAGAGAUUACACUAGCAUCGGCCAGAUAAGAACUCUGUAGCUGGAGAGCUGGAUGCAAACGAAAUCUAUGGGCAUCAGGGUUAUUUCACCCCAGUGAAAGAGACGACAGGCAAGGACAGGAAAUAAGAAUGCUAGUGCCAAAAUUCAGCACUCUGCUUUGUCAGUAGAUUAAAAAAAAAAUAAAAUAAAGCAGAUGAAGAACAGAGAAAGUUCAAGGAUCCCUCCAUUUCUUCAGUCAGCUCCAACCUAAGAACUUCAGUGGGAGUUUGGCCUGAGGGAAAAUUGCCAUAUCAGACAUUGAUUAGGCUAAAGUCAACCCAUUUCAAAGCAUCACCCAUUAAUUUAUUGACUGCAAACAGGAAUUUUGCCCAAGGCCAGAACUCACAAUCAAUCCGUUGCCCUGAGAUAGAUUUCCACAAGUGGCUGGGGAAAGGGAGUCUGUCUUCAGGAUGUCUCUCCGUGGCCCACUCUUUCUUUCUUUAUUCCCUCUCCUGCUCUAUUGCGUUGAUAACAGGGCAUUCAAAGGACUUCAUUAGUCCGAUGAUGUGCAAACAGCUGCUCAUAGGAUUUGUGACUGGAUUGAUCCUGAUGCUGCCAGUACAGACAGCACAGGGCAGAAAUAACUAUGUUUUGUUCCCUUGACAUCGUUCCCUUUCCUUUCUUUCACGUCUCAUGUAUUCAUUAAACGUUCAUUUAAUAAAA
This is a long non-coding RNA of Odocoileus virginianus texanus, 1774 nucleotides long. RefSeq lists it as uncharacterized. NCBI's taxonomy places the organism in Eukaryota, Metazoa, Chordata, Mammalia, Artiodactyla, Cervidae. The record is from RefSeq and is a predicted model, not a curated record.